RNAcentral lists this long non-coding RNA (2663 nucleotides) under Olea europaea subsp. europaea. The record is from RNAcentral. Lineage: Eukaryota; Viridiplantae; Streptophyta; Magnoliopsida; Lamiales; Oleaceae.
UUUGCAGCCAAAAAAGGAAAAUGGAUGAAAACACGGGAAAGAGGCCUAAAUUAAGAACAACUAUCUCUUUCUCUUUGCUCUCGGUUUGCUCAGAUUGAAGAAUCAGAAAAGCUCCAUCUGAAUCUCAUAUCCUCUUCCUCGAGUUCCAACUUAAUACAAUCUUCAAAUCUAGUUAUGUCUUUCUUGCUUUCCAGGUGGUAUUCCGAGCAUGUUUUCUUGUUUUACCCCUCAUUUUUCCUUCAAUUUACAGGUCUGUUACCCUUCCCCAAUUCGUUGUUUGAUCGGUGCUAAUCAGUAAGCAAUCUCCCUCUUCUUGUUGUAAUCUUUUAUUAUUAUUAUUAUUAUUAUUAUUAUUAUUAUUAUUAUUAUUAUUUCUUCUUUUUCGGUUAGAUGCAUAAAAUGGGAAAUUGAAUUUCUUUUUUGUUGUUUCUCCAUUUUUUAUUUGUUAUAGACAAUAGAAAAAAGUUGGAAUUGAUUCUCUUCAUGGGGAUGUGAUGUCUUAUGUUAAUUUGACUUCCAUUAUAUGGUUGCAUCUAUUUACUUGUGAUAUAAGAAACGUGGGUUCUCUUUGUUUAGAUCCAAAAGCUUGAAAAUUGGUAAAGAAAAAGAUACAUGCAAUCUUUUGCUAUGAUGUGAGUUGUGUUUGAUUAGGGGCUCUUCGAUAGGUCAUAGACUUAUGGAGCUGCUUUUAUAGUCAUUUGUGUGUAUAUGCCUAACUGGUUUUCGUAAUUUUGGAUUUUUGGAGGAGUAUGGGCUGAUUUAUUAUUAGGUCUUUGAUUUAGUGUAUAAUUCAUACGCUUCAUUCAGUGUACAAGUCAUAUGCUUCAUUUGAUUCAGUGUAUAAUCACUUCUGCAGAAGGUAUUGAUUAGAACUUGGAUAUUCAUAUCUCCUUAAAGAGGUAUAGUGAGCAAAAAAAUAACCAGGAUAGGCAGGGCAUUUUUAUUCUAUUUAAUCAAGGGAACACCCAAUGAGGAGUUUCAAUCAGUAAGAGGAAGUCCAACUCGUGAAUGAAUUAUCCAAUCAUACUGACAAAAAUAGUGCGCUCUUCAUAAACUAAUUGGCCAAAAUUCCUUUUGUUAGAAAUAAGGUAGAUUUCUAUAGAAUAAUGAUAACCUGAGAGCCAAGAAUGAUCGCAUCUUUUUCCAGUAAGCGUCAGAUAACUCGUAAGGUUGAGAAUUUCUCUGCCUCAAUGUAACGUCUUUUUCUCUGCUGUGCACCCACUCCAUUAUGUGUUAAAACUGAAUAUAAUAUGCUUUCUAGGACUAACCUUAAUAAAAUUUGACUCCAAGACUCCCUCUUGCCACAGAUUCAGUUAAACAAAAUUGUUAAACUACUGAGAGUCUAUACUUUCUUACAAGUGAGGAAAACUUUCACAAGAAACUCAGAUGCUUAUUGAAAUGUAUCUUAAUGAAUCGUCCAACUUGCAAGAUCGAUUUGUAGUUAUAAUCGCGUCUAAUUUCGUUGAAUUAUGAUUUUUUUUCAAGGGAUUGAUAAUUACGACUCGUUUGUAGUGAAAUUAUAUCUGCAGUGUAUCGCUUUUUUUAGUAUAAUAAUGGAGAAUUUUUUUCAGGGGAGUGAAAGUUAAAAAAUUCAUAGUCGACACAAAAGCUCAUUAAUUCUGUUUGAUAGACUUGUGAAUUUCAUGUAACUUUUAAUACAUUUAUAUGUUGCAAAUUUGUAUAAUACAAGUUUUUCCUCCAAGUCAUUGGUGGUUUAUUUGUUAACUUGUUCAGCCAGGGAAGGAAUGGAACCAUCAAGUAUUGGGAUGUUGGAGAAGGGGGGUUGUCCAGGUACUUAUCUAUCUCUUGUCCAUCUCAGGUUGGGAUAUGAGUUGUGUUGUUUCAGUACAAUAUAUUGCCUGCUUAGAACCUGACUUUUGACAAUGACUAUUAGAAAUAGUUAAUGGCUUGCUUCCUAUGUACACUGAGCUCUAGGUGCCAUGUACUUAAUGGAAAAAGAUUUUGUUUAUUGAACGUAAAUGUGUUAUAUUUGCAUAACACUACAAAAUUAACAAAUUGAUUCUAUGAAAAUAAAUUGUAGAAGAGUAGAAUUAUAAUUUAAUUUCAUCAUCCACAGUUAAAAUAACUUGGAAAAUUGCAUCUAAUAAAAUAUACUAAACUAUAGUUUCAGGAAAAAAAGGUUACGCAUAAUCACUAUUAUGCCCUUGUUUGAGCCCCAUUCUUGUCAAAAAAUAUAUUUUUGAAUAGUGUAUUGAUGAGAAAUGUGUGAUUAAAAAAUGAAGAAAAAUCAUUUUUUAUGUAUAAAAUAUAUUUUAUCGAAAAAUGUGUGAUUGAAGUGAGAUCAAAUCAAUAUUUGAGAAUGUAUUUUGAUAGGAAAAAUGAGGUAUAUGGUAACUGUGUGACAUGGACUGAAGUUGAUGCUAGACUUUUGAAAUAAUUUGUACGCCUGAAGUUUUAAUUAAGACAGGUUUUACAUUUCUUCAACAUGUUUCAUGUUAUUGAAUUUCGAUUUAUGUUUUUGUUUCGGUUUGGUCACUCUGUAUUUAUGCACGAUUAAAAACUAUCAUCCCGACUCAAAAUGAGGUGGAAUUUGCUACUCAUUAUUGUAUAUUUUUCAUUGUUUGCGUAGUGAUGGAAAUGAAAAAUAAUUACAAAUGGAAUUGGUUUUAACAACUUCAAACAAUUCAUGAGAUAUGAACGAG